GCUUUACUGCAGCUUGAUAUUGAAUUUGGGUACGAUCUGUACAGGAUAGGUGGGAGCCGUUGAACCUUGAGCGCCAGCUUGAGGGGAGGCAUCCUUGGGAUACCACCCUGAUCGUAUCUAGGUUCUAACUUGGUACCGUGAUCCGGUACGAGGACAGUGUCAGGUGGGCAGUUUGACUGGGGCGGUCGCCUCCUAAAGAGUAA
This 203-nucleotide ribosomal RNA is filed under the name Paenibacillus polymyxa. Its description in RNAcentral is "partial 23S ribosomal RNA". It matches the Rfam family "Bacterial large subunit ribosomal RNA", at positions 2098 to 2300 of the family's 2925-position model. Lineage: Bacteria; Bacillati; Bacillota; Bacilli; Caryophanales; Paenibacillaceae. The record is from RNAcentral.